GUACAGCUGACGAGUCCCAAACAGGACGAAAUAGCUGUUGUCCAGUGC
Molecule: non-coding RNA, 48 nt
Filed under: Echinostoma caproni
Lineage: Eukaryota; Metazoa; Platyhelminthes; Trematoda; Plagiorchiida; Echinostomatidae
Source: RNAcentral